RNAcentral lists this ribosomal RNA (425 nucleotides) under uncultured bacterium. RNAcentral describes it as "bacterial SSU rRNA". It matches the Rfam family "Bacterial small subunit ribosomal RNA", at positions 356 to 773 of the family's 1533-position model. The record is from RNAcentral.
GGGGAAUUUUGGACUAUGGGCGCAAGCCUGAUCCAGCAAUGCCGCGUGCAGGAAGAAGGCCUUCGGGUUGUAAACUGCUUUUGUACGGAACGAAACGGUUCUCUCUAAUACAGGGGGCUAAUGACGGUACCGUAAGAAUAAGCACCGGCUAACUACGUGCCAGCAGCCGCGGUAAUACGUAGGGUGCAAGCGUUAAUCGGAAUUACUGGGCGUAAAGCGUGCGCAGGCGGUUUUGUAAGACAGAGGUGAAAUCCCCGGGCUCAACCUGGGAACUGCCUUUGUGACUGCAAAGCUGGAGUGCGGCAGAGGGGGAUGGAAUUCCGCGUGUAGCAGUGAAAUGCGUAGAUAUGCGGAGGAACACCGAUGGCGAAGGCAAUCCCCUGGGCCUGCACUGACGCUCGUGCACGAAAGCGUGGGGAGCAAAC